RNAcentral lists this ribosomal RNA (463 nucleotides) under uncultured bacterium. RNAcentral describes it as "partial 16S ribosomal RNA". It matches the Rfam family "Bacterial small subunit ribosomal RNA", at positions 28 to 507 of the family's 1533-position model. The record is from RNAcentral.
GACGAACGCUGGCGGCGUGCUUAACACAUGCAAGUCGAACGGAAAGGCCUUUUCGGAGGUACUCGAGUGGCGAACGGGUGAGUAACACGUGGGUGAUCUGCCCUGCACUCUGGGAUAAGCCUGGGAAAUUGGGUCUAAUACCGGAUAGGACCGCACUUUAGUGUGUGUGGUGGAAAGUUUUUUCGGUGUAGGAUGAGCCCGCGGCCUAUCAGCUUGUUGGUGGGGUAAUGGCCUACCAAGGCGGCGACGGGUAGCCGGACUGAGAGGUUGGUCGGCCACAUUGGGACUGAGAUACGGCCCAGACUCCUACGGGAGGCAGCAGUGGGGAAUAUUGCACAAUGGGCGCAAGCCUGAUGCAGCGACGCCGCGUGGGGGAUGACGGCCUUCGGGUUGUAAACUCCUUUCGCCAGGGACGAAGCGUUUUGUGACGGUACCUGGAGAAGAAGCACCGGCUAACUACGUG